Molecule: long non-coding RNA, 208 nt
Filed under: Nicotiana benthamiana
Lineage: Eukaryota; Viridiplantae; Streptophyta; Magnoliopsida; Solanales; Solanaceae
Description: long non-coding RNA (NBEN_LNC031092)
Source: RNAcentral
UCAAAUUUCAGAAGCUGGGAAUUGAAACAAAAAUUUAACCUCGAUUUCAAUACAGAAUUAUCGCCAAAAUGAGAUUUUUAUACAGAAAAACAAAUCCAAAUUUCUUUGGAAUUCGGAAUUGCAAAACAAAACUUAAUUCAUCCGGGAUUCAGCAAUUUAAUCAGAAUCGGAAUACUCAAAUCCAAAUUUCUCUGGGAUUAGGAGCCCC